Clarias gariepinus (North African catfish) is the source of this 666-nucleotide long non-coding RNA. RefSeq lists it as uncharacterized. NCBI's taxonomy places the organism in Eukaryota, Metazoa, Chordata, Actinopteri, Siluriformes, Clariidae. The record is from RefSeq and is a predicted model, not a curated record. The transcript has 3 exons.
GCCGCUGGCGUCGUUCUGCGUGCUGAUUGGUUGAGGCAGAACCUGAGGGAAGACAGACUGUCAGCGUGCGUUUGCGCGACACAGACCCCGCUGAUCGGUAAAAUGCAGGUUUUUCGAAAGGGACCACUUGGAUAUCUCUGUCAAGAUCCGACCAAUGCAGCUCGACUGAUAAAAGAUAACCUAUUUCUACAGGACAGGUCUGCACCCAUGAAGGAGCAGCCCCCUCGCCGUGGUCAGUCAGAGAGGAGGGGAUGUUUCAGGGUUGUCUGCAACUUUUUCUGUCAGCACCACAGUGAUGGAUGAAGAUGAAGAGCUGGAGAGAGCGAUACUGAGUAUCUCUCUUUCCAACCCGUCUGUGCACAGAUCUCCUGCUGCUGCUGCUGCAACGCCGCCAACAACAUCGACUGCCAGAGAAUGUACAGGCAUCAGGACCUGAAAGAGCUGUCUAACCAAAAGUCCUCCUGCGCCAGGACCACAAAUUGUUUUCCCAAACUGAAUCUUCACUUAAAUCUUUCCUUUUCAUCCCAAACAGCCGACUUGUACACACGGGUUACCCUGGGAUGGCAGGGAAGUAGGUUACCGACCUGCAAAGUUUUCUUUGUACAAGGAUCUGUAGAAUCAUGGAGAAGGAGAUGAAUAAAUUGGAGUGAAACAUCAAGGGCUGAA